CGUCAGCUCGUGUCGUGAGAUGUUGGGUUAAGUCCCGCAACGAGCGCAACCCACGUAUUUAGUUGCUAACGGUUCGGCCGAGCACUCUAAAUAGACUGCCUUCGUAAGGAGGAGGAAGGUGUGGACGACGUCAAGUCAUCAUGGCCCUUAUGCCCAGGGCGACACACGUGCUACAAUGGCAUAUACAAUGAGACGCAAUACCGCGAGGUGGAGCAAAUCUAUAAAAUAUGUCCCAGUUCGGAUUGUUCUCUGCAACUCGAGAGCAUGAAGCCGGAAUCGCUAGUAAUCGUAGAUCAGCCAUGCUACGGUGAAUACGUUCCCGGGUCUUGUACUCACCGCCCGUCACACCAUGGGAGUUGAUUUCACUCGAAGCCGGAAUACUAAACUAGUUACCGUCCACAGUGGAAUCAGCGACUGGGGUGAAGUCGUAACAAGGUAACCGUAGGAGAACCUGCGGUUGGAUCACCUCCUUU
This 473-nucleotide ribosomal RNA is filed under the name Campylobacter jejuni. Its description in RNAcentral is "bacterial SSU rRNA". It matches the Rfam family "Bacterial small subunit ribosomal RNA", at positions 1053 to 1533 of the family's 1533-position model. The record is from RNAcentral. Lineage: Bacteria; Pseudomonadati; Campylobacterota; Epsilonproteobacteria; Campylobacterales; Campylobacteraceae.